This 253-nucleotide ribosomal RNA is filed under the name uncultured bacterium. RNAcentral describes it as "partial 16S ribosomal RNA". It matches the Rfam family "Bacterial small subunit ribosomal RNA", at positions 524 to 776 of the family's 1533-position model. The record is from RNAcentral.
UACGUAGGGAGCAAGCGUUGUCCGGAAUCAUUGGGCGUAAAGCGCGCGUAGGUGGCCUCAUAAGUCCGCUGUGAAAGUCAAAGGCUCAACCUUUGAAAGCCGGUGAAUACUGUGAGGCUAGAGUACGGAAGAGGCGAGUGGAAUUCCUGGUGUAGCGGUGAAAUGCGCAGAUAUCAGGAGGAACACCGGUGGCGAAGGCGGGUCUCUGGGCCGAUACUGACGCUGAGGAGCGAAAGCGUGGGGAGCGAACAGG